RNAcentral lists this long non-coding RNA (585 nucleotides) under Ananas comosus (pineapple). RNAcentral describes it as "long non-coding RNA (ACOM_LNC022102)". The record is from RNAcentral. Lineage: Eukaryota; Viridiplantae; Streptophyta; Magnoliopsida; Poales; Bromeliaceae.
UGUAUGCUUGUAUUAUUCUAUUUGACAAAUUAUCACACUACAACAAAAACGGUCUAUAGCGACACUUUUAAAUAUCGGUAUAAGUCAAAAAAAAGUGCUGCUGGCUAAAUUACCGACACUUUUAAAAAGUGUUGCUAUAUGUGGGGUAGCUAGGUAUAUAGUGACGGUUAAAGAGUGCCACUAUAACCUAAAAAGAGUGCUGCUAAUUUACAAACACUUAUUUAAACAUUUAGCAACAGCCGAAAAUCUACCUCGUUGGCUGCGAUGGCGGAGGAGGACGAGAGGGAAGGGCUCUUCGUCUAAGAUUUCAGUGGAUUGAGUGAGGGGAGAAGGGGAGAUGGUAAUCGAUUUUUCUUCUUUUUUUAUUUUCUGUUUGUAAUCAGGCUGAAUGGGUUGGGUGGGGUGGGUUGAGCAAAGUAACUUUUUAUUUUUGGUUGGAUUGGGCUUUAUAUUUAAGCAUUAGUAGAUUUUUUAAAAAGUUUUGGUAUAAGUGGGACAUUUACAUAAAAGUGUCUCAAACAUGUGUCCCUAUAACCCAAUUCUGUUGUAAAUCAUUCAUAAUAAAAUGAAGAACAAUGCUAAAAA